GCAGUAGGGAAUAUUGGGCAAUGGGCGAGAGCCUGACCCAGCCAUGCCGCGUGCAGGAAGAAGGCUUUCUGAGUCGUAAACUGCUUUUGACAGGGAAGAAUAAGGCUUACGUGUAAGCUGAUGACGGUACCUGCAGAAUAAGCACCGGCUAACUCCGUGCCAGCAGCCGCGGUAAUACGGAGGGUGCGAGCGUUGUCCGGAUUUAUUGGGUUUAAAGGGUGCGUAGGCGGCUUUUUAAGUCCGGGGUGAAAGCCCGCUGCUCAACAGCGGAACUGCCCUGGAUACUGGAGAGCUUGAGAGUAGAGGAGGUUGGCGGAAUGGACAGAGUAGCGGUGAAAUGCAUAGAUACUGUCCAGAACCCCGAUUGCGAAGGCAGCUGACUACACUACAUCUGACGCUGAGGCACGAAAGCGUGGGGAGCGAACAGGAUUAGA
This 434-nucleotide ribosomal RNA is filed under the name uncultured bacterium. RNAcentral's name for it is "bacterial SSU rRNA". It matches the Rfam family "Bacterial small subunit ribosomal RNA", at positions 351 to 782 of the family's 1533-position model. The record is from RNAcentral.